RNAcentral lists this ribosomal RNA (756 nucleotides) under Aphelenchoides ritzemabosi. RNAcentral's name for it is "eukaryotic LSU rRNA". It matches the Rfam family "Eukaryotic large subunit ribosomal RNA", at positions 367 to 952 of the family's 3401-position model. The record is from RNAcentral. Lineage: Eukaryota; Metazoa; Nematoda; Chromadorea; Rhabditida; Aphelenchoididae.
AAAAGCACUUUGAAAAGAGAGUGCAAGAGAACGUGAAACCGACAUAAUGGAAGCGGAUGGAGCCGACGUAUCAGGUGCGUAUUCAGUUCGACGACGCAGCGAUCGACGCUUGGGCAUUCCGCAAGGUUGUCGAGCGGCGUUCUCGUUGUGCUCGUCGGGUGCAUUUGCGUACGGAGUGCGCCGAGUGGGUCGAUUGCGCUGCUGGACGAGUGCAUAGAGGACUCGGGUCUUCGCGGGCCGGAGAAUCCUGUGCGCUUGGGAUAGCGGGUGCAGUUGGCUCGUCGUUGGUGUGGGUGAAUUCGCGGUUGGCGGCUGCUGUGCGGUCGGCCGGCGGACGACACAUGUGUCGGUCGUUGGUCCGUUCGUGCGGUCGGACGUCGAUUGCCCCCGAACACUCGACUCGGUGUAUAGUCGGUCACCCAUUUGACCCGUCUUGAAACACGGACCAAGGAGUUUAAGGUGUACGCGAGUCAUUGAGUCCGCGAAACUCAAAGGCGCAAUGAAAGUGAGACACUCGGUGUCGGCGAUGUGAGCGGAGAGCGUUUCGACGUUCCUCGUGCAACAUCACCCCGUGAUUGGAACUUGUUCUGUUGCGGAGGUCGAGCGUACGCUUUGAGACCCGAAAGAUGGUGAACUAUGCCCGAACAGGAUGAAGCCAGAGGAAACUCUGGUGGAAGUCCGAAGCGGUUCUGACGUGCAAAUCGAUCGUCUGAUUUGGGUAUAGGGGCGCAAGACUAAUCGAACCAUCUAGUAGCU